AGGACGAACGCUGGCGGCGUGCUUAACACAUGCAAGUCGAACGGAAAGGCCCUUCGGGGUACUCGAGUGGCGAACGGGUGAGUAACACGUGGGUGAUCUGCCCCGCACUUUGGGAUAAGCCUGGGAAACUGGGUCUAAUACCGAAUAGGACCAUGGCAUGCAUGUGCUGUGGUGGAAAGCUUUUGCGGUGUGGGAUGGGCCCGCGGCCUAUCAGCUUGUUGGUGGGGUUAAGGCCUACCAAGGCGACGACGGGUAGCCGGCCUGAGAGGGUGUCCGGCCACACUGGGACUGAGAUACGGCCCAGACUCCUACGGGAGGCAGCAGUGGGGAAUAUUGCACAAUGGGCGCAAGCCUGAUGCAGCGACGCCGCGUGGGGAUGACGGCCUUCGGUUGUAAACCCUUCAGUAGGACGAAGCGCAGUGACGGUACCUACAGAAGAAGCACCGGCCAACUACGUGCCAGCAGCCGCGGU
Molecule: ribosomal RNA, 472 nt
Filed under: uncultured bacterium
Lineage: Bacteria
Description: SSU rRNA
Rfam family: Bacterial small subunit ribosomal RNA
Source: RNAcentral